CAGCUCCUCUAGACCGGU
Molecule: unclassified non-coding RNA, 18 nt
Filed under: Mus musculus (house mouse)
Lineage: Eukaryota; Metazoa; Chordata; Mammalia; Rodentia; Muridae
Description: oocyte_clustered_small_RNA6197
Source: RNAcentral